UAGAGCAAAGCAUUUUAGAUGCAAGAAACUGUUAUUUUCUAGAAUUUUUCUCUAG
This 55-nucleotide transfer RNA is filed under the name Trichuris trichiura (human whipworm). RNAcentral describes it as "tRNA-Asn". Lineage: Eukaryota; Metazoa; Nematoda; Enoplea; Trichinellida; Trichuridae. RNAcentral also lists the same sequence under 1 other name. The record is from RNAcentral.